GGACCCUGGAGUUCGCUGCCACGGGGGAACUAACGGCACCGACAGCCCCUGUGGCGAGGGAAGAGUCCCGUCCCGGGACUGCGGCCGCCGCCCCUGCGAGGGACGCGGGAGACUCUCGGGGUGUGUGGAGUUAUGAGGGGAGGAAACGAAUUGAAAUUGUGCCAGGGAAGGUUCAGAUUGGAUAUGAGGAAAAACUCUGUCAGGAAUUGGAACAGGCUGCCCAGGGCAAUGGUGGAGUCACCAUCCCUGGAGGGGCUGAACAGAUGAGGAGAUUAAGUUCUCAGGACAUGGGUCAGUGCCAGAGAAGAAGUAUAUCUGAAUUGAAGCAAUGUAGUGAUGCGUUGCAAUAAGAAUUUGAAAGUCUGUAAGAGAAAGAGGUGCCCUGUAGAAGAGGAAGGCAGUCUACUCUGGAGGUGUUGCUGAUAGCCAGGGAUGAGCAACACUGCAGUAUGGGCUUCUCAAAUGGUGUAACACGAUAAUUAAAAGGUCAUUUUCUGGCUGUAGUGGCCAUGAAACUUGAGGGAUUUGGCAAAAGUGAUGUUCUGUUCAUAAUAAAGUGGUGAUGUUUCUCCCUUUAACAAAUACUGUUUUCAUCUCCUUUGUUUUUUGUUGCACACAGAAUAUAUUAAUCCCUCUGAAGGGAGCAGUUCAUGGCAAGAUAACUUUGAUCCAGUUGCUGCCUAUCACAGAAGAUCAGAAACUCUGCAACAGCUCUUUAAUGAAAAACAUUUAAAGUUAAAAUUAUUAAUUUUUAUUCAGGCUUUGUGUUUUCAGUUGCAUUUAUGACCAAAAAACAUUGUGAUGCCAGUGCCUCUCUCUGUUGUAGAACGGUACAUAUGGUAAACUGUUUUGACAUUUCUGUAAAUGAAGUGGUAAAUGAAACGUGUGGAAGUGGGCAGCAUUUAUUAAUACAUAAUCUUGAAGUCCGUGCCAGAAUGCCUGGUAAGACAUUAAUAGCAAUGCCUGAACUGAGCUCUUUAUCUUUUCUAAUAUAUUUUAUUAACAAGCAAUUUAGGGGGAAGUUAAGAAUGGUUUACCCAGUUUUAUUAACAAGAACAGCUGCUAUGAUAUAACAAAGUGAAUUAAAAGUGAGCCAGCAGUCUUAAAGUGUUAAGAAUACUCAUUUCGGCCAAGGGAUGAGCCAAAAAAUAAUAAAGGACUGCCAUUUACCUCAACCUGGGUGUCAGUAUUAGCUUCCUCCAGUCACACCAUGACUUAAAGGUUCUUUUCCAUCUCCAACCCAAGCUGUUCCAGCUCCACCACAAAGUGAUAGUAAUAUAUUAAUGACUUAUUGAAACAACAAGCAACCAAACCCAUAAAACUAACGUUCUAUAUCAUGUCUUGUUUAAUGGUCAUGCUGUGUAUCUUGUUUCCAUUCUACUUUUACAAUAGUGGGACAAAAUUAUCCCUGAUGGAUAAUAAGGUGCCGUUGUUUUGGGGCACAAAUGAAGUAUUUUACAACUCUGAUACUAUCCUAUCUCAGAUUAUAAGAGUAGCUUCUGUAGGAGAAAAUCCAUCCUGCCAGAGGAAUACAUCUGUAAAGUUUACAUUUAGAACUAACAUAAAUGGUCAUGCAGAGGAGGCCUAUAUGAUUAAAAUAUAAGGAAGAAAUAAACUGUUGUUGUUAUCUCCGUUCCUUCCCCCAAAAGAAAACUACAGUGUAGACUGUGUAUAUAAAUAUGUUAGAAACUUGUAGACAAUUAAAAAAUACAGGUUUUAGUUCAAGAUGUGAUAUCUAGUUAAAUGUUUAUCAGAAGUUAAUUUCACUUGUUCUGUUAAGGAAGUGUAUAAUUAGCAAAUACAAAGAGCACGUGGGUAUAUUUCUCAACACUUAAGUAUUUAUUUACAUUAUUAUAUAAACGUAUAUAGCACAGCUCUAGCACUAUACUUAAUUCUCGUUAAGAGUACUGAUUUUUUUUAGCACGAGGCAAUUUAAAAACAAGGAAAAUGAUAAAAGUAGGGCAGAAAAAUAGUGAUGCCAUUUUCUCUAAAUGGAAAAGAAAGAGAAGAAAGAAAUAUUUAAAGGUCUCAGAAGUAAGUGUGUAAAUUUUGCUUGAGUGAAACUUUGAAUGCCAGGCCACCCUAGAAAAUAAAUGUUAUUGUUUUUUAUUAAACUGAAGAAUAACAACCUAACAGAACAAAUUCAGAAAUGAAGCACCUUCGAGGUGGAUCAGUGACAAAACUGUAAGCAUACUCUAAAAAUCUUCUUUUUUUACUGAAUUUUACUCAGCAGAAAAAUAAGAAGUGGGUUGGUUGUUUUCUCCAUUUCAGACUUUGAGGUAGGAAAGAAAAUAUUAAUGUAAGAGAGAGUGGGGAAAUGAUACAUUUUUGGGGGAAAAGGCCAGGCUGCUGCUAUUUAAUUCAGAAACUUGUCAUUUUUAAAAAGAACUUGGCUAUUUUAAUUAGUAUUCCUUUUUUUAGCAAGAACCAUUUUCUUGAGAAAAAUUUGUGCUGAGAAAGUUGAACUUUAGAGCCAAAAUUAGUAUAGGACAUAUAUCAGUAGUGUAUCUGUUCACGUAAAAAAACCAAACCAAAACACCGCCACAUUUUUGUCUCCUGCAUAUCUUUUGAGCUGGGUUGAUUUGGGUUUUGUUUGUUUGUUUUAAUUCAUAUUUUAUCCUUGCAAGAAGGCAGGUUCCCUGUGUUCAGGUGCAUUCAUUAAGACCCAGACUGUGUUGGAAACCUUUAUUGAUGUGACAACAGAAAUGCAUGUUUCAUUAUUUUUGUGUCACAGACAAGGAACCUAUUUAACUGUUCCUACUGGUAUAUUUUUCUUCACUUGUUUGCUUGUUUAAUAUUCCUCCCAAUUAUGUUUUUCUCCAUGUCCCUAGGAAAGACUUCAUGCAUUAAAGGGAUCUGCAAGAAUAACCAUGUUAACUGCACUGCUGUGACCUACGGGUGACUCGUUACAGAAUGAGACAGGCCGAGAUUAGUAAGAUCUCAUCUUCUUUUGCGAAGCUGUCACGUGUUUAAGAGAUUAUCACCAGGGCUUCUGAGGGUUGAGAUUUUUCUCCUGCAAACCGAAGUAAGGGAAAUGUUCUUAGCAAGAGAUAAGAAGAAUUAUGGAAAUGAGAAAAAAUUCUGGGAUAUCAUUUGUGAAAGGGGCCCUAAAAUGUUGCUUUUUUGGUAGUUAAGUCUUUAAAGAGGUUUUAACUGAGCUGGAUCACUGGUUUCUAGAGCUGGUAUAUUGGCUACAAAAGGAGGAGACCCAGCCUCUUCUCAAAACCGUGAAGGGUGGCUCACCUGAAAGUGGAGAGCAGGUGUGGGACGAAGAUCUGGAGAGGAGAAGGAUGUGUGUGGAAGUUCUGAUGGGAGCUGCAGUUUGAAGCUAUGUGUGUAAACCCCCCUGGAACAUUUGGCAGGGAUGAGCUGUUCUGUCUACGCAGGUGGAUUCUUUUUUGUGGCAGUUGACAUUUUGUGAGACAAAAUCUGAGCCAUAUUUUAAGUUAUGCCUCCACUCUUUGCUCUUAUGAAAACUUGCCAAAAAUGUGAACAACUAUUUGUAAUACUAAGCUACAAGGUCUCAUCAACUUGGUUUCUUCUUUAGAUUGUGAAUUUAAUCUCAAAUUGGAUGAUGCAAAGAAACUUCUUCCAAGAAAGGGCUGUGGGGCAUUGGAACAGGCUGCCCAGGACAGUGGUGGGGUCACCAUCCCUGGAGGGGUUGAACAGAAACAGAUGAGGGUCUUAGGGACAUGGGUUAGUGGUAGACUUGACAGUGUUAGGUUAACGCUUGCACUCAAUGAUCUUAAAGGUCUUUUCCAUGAUUCUAAAUACUAAAAGUUUAAAACUUCUUAUUGACAUUUGUAUACUUUAAAAAGAUGCAAUAGCUCUUCCUCUCUUCCUCUCUUCCUCUCUUCCUCUCUUCCUCUCUUCCUCUCUUCCUCUCUUCCUCUCUUCCUCUCUUCCUCUCUUCCUCUCUUCCUCUCUUCCUCUCUUCCUCUCUUCCUCUCUUCCUCUCUUCCUCUCUUCCUCUCUUCCUCUCUUCCUCUCUUCCUCUCUUCCUCUCUUCCUCUUCUUCUCCUCUCUACUGUUCUUCUUCCUUUCAUCUCUUCUCUUCUCUUCUCUUCUCUUCUCUUCUCUUCUCUUCUCUUCUCUUCUCUUCUCUUCUCUUCUCUUCUCUUCUCUUCUCUUCUCUUCUCUCUCUUCUCUUCUCUUCUCUUCUCUUCUCUUCUCUUCUCUUCUCUUCUCUUCUCUUCU
Columba livia (rock pigeon) is the source of this 4197-nucleotide long non-coding RNA. RefSeq lists it as uncharacterized. The record is from RefSeq and is a predicted model, not a curated record. NCBI's taxonomy places the organism in Eukaryota, Metazoa, Chordata, Aves, Columbiformes, Columbidae. The transcript has 3 exons.